UGGGGAAUAUUGCACAAUGGGCGAAAGCCUGAUGCAGCGACGCCGCGUGAGGGAUGACGGCCUUCGGGUUGUAAACCUCUUUCAGCAGGGAAGAAGCGAAAGUGACGGUACCUGCAGAAGAAGCGCCGGCUAACUACGUGCCAGCAGCCGCGGUAAUACGUAAGGCGCAAGCGUUGUCCGGAAUUAUUGGGCGUAAAGAGCUCGUAGGCGGUUAGUCGCGUCUGCUGUGAAAACUCGAGGCUCAACCUCGGGCUUGCAGUGGGUACGGGCUGACUAGAGUGCGGUAGGGGUGACUGGAAUUCCUGGUGUAGCGGUGGAAUGCGCAGAUAUCAGGAGGAACACCGAUGGCGAAGGCAGGUCACUGGGCCGCAACUGACGCUGAGGAGCGAAAGCAUGGGGAGCGAACAGGAUUAGAUACCCUGGUAGUCCAUGCCGUAAACGUUGGGCACUAGGUGUGGGGUCCAUUCCACGGAUUCCGUGCCGCAGCAAACGCAUUAAGUGCCCCGCCUGGGGAGUACGGCCGCAAGGCUAAAACUCAAAGGAAUUGACGGGGGUCAUAGCUG
RNAcentral lists this ribosomal RNA (563 nucleotides) under uncultured bacterium. RNAcentral describes it as "partial 16S ribosomal RNA". It matches the Rfam family "Bacterial small subunit ribosomal RNA", at positions 355 to 928 of the family's 1533-position model. The record is from RNAcentral.